RNAcentral lists this ribosomal RNA (253 nucleotides) under uncultured bacterium. RNAcentral's name for it is "partial 16S ribosomal RNA". It matches the Rfam family "Bacterial small subunit ribosomal RNA", at positions 524 to 776 of the family's 1533-position model. The record is from RNAcentral.
UACGUAGGAGGCAAGCGUUAUCCGGAUUUACUGGGUGUAAAGGGAGCGUAGACGGCAGGGCAAGUCUGGAGUGAAAGGCAGGGGCCCAACCCCUGGACUGCUCUGGAAACUGUCCGGCUGGAGUGCAGGAGAGGUAAGUGGAAUUCCUAGUGUAGCGGUGAAAUGCGUAGAUAUUAGGAGGAACACCAGUGGCGAAGGCGGCUUACUGGACUGUAACUGACGUUGAGGCUCGAAAGCGUGGGGAGCAAACAGG